This 66-nucleotide transfer RNA is filed under the name Echidna polyzona. Its description in RNAcentral is "tRNA-Cys". It matches the Rfam family "tRNA". Rfam says of the family: Transfer RNA (tRNA) molecules are approximately 80 nucleotides in length. The record is from RNAcentral. Lineage: Eukaryota; Metazoa; Chordata; Actinopteri; Anguilliformes; Muraenidae.
AGUUCUGUGGUGUAAGGCACACUAGAUUGCAAACCUGGAAGCGCAGAUUAGACCCUGCCAGAACUU